GGGGGCGUAAUUUGGCUUCGACACAUUGCAGUGUGUUUUGAGAGCAUGCCGAGUUUUGAAUGGAACUCGUUAAUCAACGUUCAAAAACAUAAAUGCAGAACCACUUAGUGGCUCUACAGCUGUUCCUGCUUAAUUUAAGCAUUAACUAACUGUCUUGUGAGCGGGCGUGUCUGUUAGCUUAGCUUACUCGUAUAAUCCAACAGAACUUUUUGACAAGACUUUUUAGUUGUGUGGUCAAAUCGUACACUGAACUAGCUUUCACUUGUUCUGGUCUCUUGCAGCACAGUGAAAGUAUAAACAAGAGAUAAGCAUGUAGCGCUUGAAAUUCAUCGUUCUGUGGACAUGGGUUCGACUCCCAUCGCCUCCACCA
Molecule: transfer-messenger RNA, 370 nt
Filed under: Candidatus Babeliae
Lineage: Bacteria
Description: GWF2-37-49 sp000989955 Standard tmRNA
Rfam family: transfer-messenger RNA
About the family: Bacterial tmRNA, also known as 10Sa RNA or SsrA, is named for its dual tRNA and mRNA-like properties.
Source: RNAcentral